ACAGAGGUGGCGAGCGUUGUUCGGAUUUACUGGGCGUAAAGGGCGCGUAGGCGGCGGAGUGUGUCGGGUGUGAAAUCCCAGGGCCCAACCCUGGAAGUGCGCCCGAAACUGCUCCGCUCGAGUCCGGGAGGGGAGAUCGGAAUGCAGGGUGUAGGGGUGAAAUGCGUUGAUAUCCUGCAGACCACCGGUGGCGAAGGCGGCUCACUGGAACGGCUCUGACGCUGAGGCGCGAAAGUCGGGGGAGCAAGCAG
Molecule: ribosomal RNA, 251 nt
Filed under: uncultured prokaryote
Description: partial 16S rRNA
Rfam family: Bacterial small subunit ribosomal RNA
Source: RNAcentral